Molecule: long non-coding RNA, 2927 nt
Organism: Vollenhovia emeryi
Lineage: Eukaryota; Metazoa; Arthropoda; Insecta; Hymenoptera; Formicidae
Exons: 3
Source: RefSeq, a predicted model, not a curated record
UCCUAUGUUUUCUGCGCAUUUUUUUAUCUCCGUUAGUUUUCUUUCUAUAAUUUUGUCGAAAAUUAAUUUGCUACGGACUAUUAUAAAAUUAUUUUUUAACCAUAAAAUAACACAAUCUGGUCAAUGCAUAAUUUAAAUAAAUACUUUAAUUAUUACUAUGCAUAUGCAUAGAGAAAUGAUGUAAAUAACUAAAUGCAAUUUAUUACUACCUCGCGAUAAAUCUAUUCACUACUCAGCUAAUUAAAAUCGUCGAUAAAGUACGUAGUGUAAAAUAACUGAUUUAUAAUCGAAUAACUACGAAUAACCAAAUAGAUUGUGCUGGCGUUAUUAAGCACGUUACUCGUUUAAUUUUUUUCUCGAAGGCAAAGAAGCAUUGUCCUAAAUCAUCAUCGAUCAAAAAUUCCUAUCCAAGAUAAAUUGAACGCCCGACAAUUUCUCGGGGACCAAAAGAUUGCUGCACAAGUUUCUCGUAUCGUUACACGUUGAUGACGUUGCGAAAUAAUAUUCAAAUCAGUAGCCGAGGUCAGAAAUCAGGUAAUCGGUGACCCAACAACAAUGACCGUCAACGGGAAGUUAUUUGCGUUGAGGAUUACGUGGCAACCUUUGCACGAGAUAUUGUGAUGCAAAGUGUCCAGUGCGAAAUCGAGGGAGAUCCUGGUGUGUACACGUUCCGUCGUAGCCGCCCUCGUCCGUGUUCACGCGUGUGCGUGCGGGUGUGUGCGAUUAAUAUGCGUAGAGUGGUACAGGGAUUCUGCUCAGUAUGCGGGACAUCAUCGCGUCUAUGAUAGUAUGAUUGUCGGGCCACUCGUGGCUCAAUCUAACGUUCCAAUGUUCCAUUGCUGCCCCCCCCCUCUCUCUCUCUCUCUCUCUCUCUCUCUCUCUGUCCCGCUCUCCUUUCCUCUCCUCUCUCAUUCUCUAGUUCACACUCAAGCCAUCACAUUUCGCUUCUCACUCGCCGUUCCACCAACUUUGCUGUUCCCUGUUCAUCUCUGUCUUUCCCCCUUUCCUCUCAAACGGGAACGGCAGUCAAACCCAUCCGGCUAAUCCCAGGAGGACUCCGCUCUCCAUCCCUUAUCAGUAUUCAAUGCCUCUAAACUGCUUUUUGACACUAUCCAAGGCCUCGAGAAUUCUAUUUUACAACUCAAUUCUCUGAUCUCGCCGUUCUACAGAUAUACCGGUGAAUUGCAUGGCCACGCAACGUGGGCGAGAAAACAACAAUAAAAUGCUCUUUACGUAUAUCCUCGUGAAUUAAAUAUAAAGUAGCUCACGCCAUUAUUACACUCCACUCCGCCGUUAUCAAUGGAAAGCACUGUACAUGCACGAGCGAACUAUUAGUUGCAGAAUGUUCGCGCCAGGGCGACCUCGUCGUAUAGUGACGCAGGGAUUGUACCUUUACCCCGGGCUGGGGCGAAAUUCUCCUCUCCGUUUCGGGAGCGGAUUGAUGGUUUUCAUUGUUCACCAGGAUAGGCGGAUUUCAGUGCGGUGCGAGCACGGUAACACCGGCAGGCGCGCCCUUCGCGUCGCACAGAAGCCCUUUGACCAUCCUUUGCAUUCGGGAUUCCGGAAUGAAGGAAAUAGAGCGCCGUAAUACCACGAUAGCGUGGCUACGUUAUACGACAGGCGGCCGUUACCGCAAAAUACUACGGGCCGCGCAUGCAUGCAGCUGAAGAAUUUUAACAGGAUACUACGAACCCCAAGCCGGAGAAGAGGCGAGGCAAACUGCAUUACAGGGAGAUAAUAGGUGUAAUUACGUUGAUACAGAGUCGAUAGACAUCUGCGAAAAUUUUCGCCCGGUCUGAUCCUGGUUUCUGCAUUAUUCACGAGUUUCGGGCUUAAUUAUUCGAGAAUUUCAAACUUGCACAAUUAUUGUUCUCAAAAAGGAUGCUAUUAAGUCGCGACAAUCGACUGUACGUAAUGCAAUGCGCGCGAUAUCAUUCGUAGCUCGCCGGGAGAAUCAAUUUCAUAAUUCAGGUAGAAAAGAAUCUGGUGCGCAUUCCCCAUCCGAUAUAAUGUCUCGGGUAGACUCCUGAGAAGGAAACUGAAGUCUCGCAUUGUCUUUUUCUCGCGAAUCUCAGUACGCAAAAAUACGCAUCCACGUACAUACCCGUGUGUAUUGCACGCCUUGUAUAUAAUAUAUUCGCAUGGUACUUUAUAAAUCCGGAUUACAGCUAUCCGAAGAGAAAAAUAAUAAAAAAACAUUCCGCUAACGUUAUUAGAUUUUCUUUCAUCCCCCGAGGACAAGACGAUCCGCGACAGGGAGGCGAAAGGACGAAUAGAAAUGGAAUGGAGGGACGAGCGCGUUGGUAUUAGCAGAUUCUGUCCGCUCCUCGAUUCCGGCAAAACAGGGACAUUAAUCAGGAUCCGCCUGAUAAAAUAAAUAGACAGGAGGAAGAGAGAGUGACGUUUUAAUUAUAAGGACGGUCGAUGAUGCAUGUUCGCUAAGUUACUAUCAGUGCCGUGACACAAAGGCACUGACGUCGCCGCCUCGAUACCAUCGCUCAACGCAUUUGUAACGAAACUCACGACCGUUUAGAAAAUGUGAUUAUAAUAUUCCGAAAAUCUAUUUCUUCCUUUCAAGUUGAUCAACAAGCGCAUUUAAUUUUUCUCAUUUUGAAACUGUGCAUCGGACUGUUACGUAGUCUAACAAUGGCUUGAUUUUUUAAAAAUUUAUCGAGGCCAUUCAUUUCGAAAUUGUUGCGGACACAUGUGUACGGCUUAUGACUCCGUAUUCUACCGAUAGUGAGCAGCAACUAGCUAGAAAAUCGGCAAAUUUGAAAUUCAAAUUCUUGGAUCUCUGUGAACGCAAUUUUGCGUUGCAGGAAUCUCUGUACAAUGUGAAAUAACGAAUUCCGGUUGAAGUAAAUGUAACAAUUUAGGCCACAUUGCCGACUUUUAAUAAAACCUUUAAAUGAUGUUUAAUUAUAUUC